This is a small nuclear RNA of Perognathus longimembris pacificus (Pacific pocket mouse), 108 nucleotides long. Lineage: Eukaryota; Metazoa; Chordata; Mammalia; Rodentia; Heteromyidae. The record is from RefSeq and is a predicted model, not a curated record.
GUGCUCGCUUCGGCAGCACAUACACUAAAAUUGGAACCAUACAGAGAAGAUUAGCAUGGCCCCUGCACAAGGAUGACAUGCAAAUUCAUGAAGGUGUUCCAUAUCUAA